UACGAGGGGGGCAAGCGUUGUUCGGAAUUAUUGGGCGUAAAGGGCGCGUAGGCGGUGCAGUAAGUCUGUUGUGAAAUCUCCGGGCUCAACUCGGAGUCUGCAUCAGAAACUGCCGUGCUCGAGUGUGGGAGAGGUGAGUGGAAUUCCCGGUGUAGCGGUGAAAUUCGUAGAUAUCGAGAGGAACACCGGUGGCGAAGGCGGCCUUCUGGACAGUGACUGACGCUGAGACGCGAAAGCGUGGGGAGCAAACAGG
Molecule: ribosomal RNA, 253 nt
Filed under: uncultured bacterium
Lineage: Bacteria
Description: partial 16S ribosomal RNA
Rfam family: Bacterial small subunit ribosomal RNA
Source: RNAcentral